RNAcentral lists this ribosomal RNA (253 nucleotides) under uncultured bacterium. Its description in RNAcentral is "partial 16S ribosomal RNA". It matches the Rfam family "Bacterial small subunit ribosomal RNA", at positions 524 to 776 of the family's 1533-position model. The record is from RNAcentral.
UACAGAGGUGGCAAGCGUUGUUCGGAAUUACUGGGCGUAAAGGGCGCGUAGGCGGUCCGAUAAGUCCCGUGUGAAAGCCCCCGGCUCAACUGGGGAACUGCACGGGAAACUGACGGACUUGAGUUCGGGAGAGGGAAGCGGAAUUCCGGGUGUAGCGGUGAAAUGCGUAGAUAUCCGGAGGAACACCGGUGGCGAAGGCGGCUUCCUGGACCGACACUGACGCUGAGGCGCGAAAGCUAGGGUAGCAAACGGG